UGUGUUUCACUUAAAUGAGAACUGUGAGAAGUGAAUUUUAGUGGAAUAUGCAGGAGGCUUGAAGGAAAUAACUUUUUUCAAAUUUUGUGAAAAUAUUAAAUAAAAAUAAUAAAACACAUAAAAAUAUAUAAAUAUGUAUACUAAUAACAUGCAAUCGUCCAUAUUUAUAUUUAAUUUUUAUUUAGCAUAGAUUUAACUUCCGAUGUUUCAAUAUCCCUUCAUGAAAAGUUGCGGAAACUGUAUGUUUUUAGAAUUGCCUUCAAUUUGGCCUUUUUUGAGGAUCCUAUUUAAACCACAUAAAGUCUUUGGUUUCGUCUAUCACCAAUAGGAAGGAGCUUGAUCAAACACCUUACCAGAAGUGUAUGCGCCAAUUAUUUAUUUGUUAUUUUUAUACGUAUAAAUAUUGUUGAUAAAAACUUACUUUUUACAAAAAGAAAGCAACUAUAAACGUUUUGCGCGAACAAAAAUUUUUUUUCUGAAUUGUUCCGCUUCUCAUACCAGUUAUUUUUAUAUUGAACUUUUUUAUUUUUUCGCCCAUUCAUCGCAAUAUCAUUUUAUUGAUCAAUUCAACAAACAAUUUUUAAUAUAAAAUACUUUUUAAUGUUAUUUAGAAUUGUCAAAUUUGGUUGGCUUAAAUCUUUAUUUACACUAUAAUUCCCCUUAUACAUUUAUAUGUAUGUACAUACAUUCUUAUGUUCUGUAUAGUCACAUUCAUAUGAAUAUUAUAUACCUACAUACAAAUGUCUUUAUGUAUGUGCCUACCCUUAGAUGGUUGCAUGGAUGUUCAUGUAAAAAAUCGAAAAUUCUAACCUCAAAUCAUUCCGUGCCUUCCCAAGAAACUCACUCAUAUCCAUCAUUGACGUGCAACCAAAUAAACCGAACGGCCAGCCAACCAACCAACCAAACUCAAUCUACAAAUGCUCAAUAAAUACAACAACCACUAUCGUAAACGAAAAUAAAAACAAAAACAACAACUGAAAUUUCACAUAGUGACAAAAGCGAAUAAAAGUAAUCAGCAGCCGCUCAGGGCAAGCAGAAGAUGUGCGGCCCCAAAACUACAAUAACAAUAACAUAUAACAUACGCGACAACAACGAUGGCGCUCCACCUCAUGCACACACACAUCCUCGCACACGAGAGCAAGAGAGGGGGAGCAAGAAAUGACGAGUGUGAAUUGCUAAAGAGUGCUGGAUGAGGAGGAGUGAGGGAUAGCAGACUAAAAAGACGACAGAAAAAAUGGAAAGAAAUCGUAACCGUAUUGAAUACUAGUUGAUGCACGAAACAACAACUAGCCAGCAAAAACAAGAAAAAGUCGUAUGUAAUAAGCAUCGUCGCGCCGGUGCGAGGCAAAAUCGGAUUUGUGUGCGCCACCAACUUACAUACACACGCUAACCCAUAGAGUGGUGUGUCUCCCAGCCCCACAAAGAGGAGAAAAAAGUAAAAUAAAAAAUAAAAAAACAGCAAUAAAAAAUGCGACGAUGAAAUGAUUUCAAUUGAAUUGUGAGCCACACGCGACAGAAUGAAAUAGCAAACGAAGCCAAGAGCCGAAGUCAAAGCAGCCAAGCACAGACAGCCGUGCUGGCAGGCAGGCGGGCAGGCAGCAGGCGAUAACGAACGGGCGAACCCAAACGAACCCCAAUCACAACAACACCAACUACAAAAAUCAUAUAAAAAACAACAGCAGCAAUGACAACAGCAAGAAAUAAUGGGCCGAGAGAGAGGAAUAAAAACAAAUUGAAGUGAAUGAAUGAAUUUCAAUACAUGGCGGCGGUGGCGAUUGCAGCGACGACGACUUCGACGUUAACCACUCGCAUGCCCGAAGGAAGAAUACGCUCAUCUAUACAAUACUUGUAUGAAAUUCGGAGACUCCACGUCGCUCUUGAAAUAUAAACAAACGCAAGCAAAAAUCAAAAUCACAUAAGAAAACCGAUAAAAAACCCGUAAAGGCACUGCCGAAGCCAUCGAAGACGCAACACAAAUGAAAUGUAAUCAGAAGACCAAAGAGAGAGAGAGCAAAUUUGUGUGUGAGAGACUGAGCGCGCAAUAAACUUUAAGCGCAUGUGAGCAUAAAGAUAGUCAAUGAAAUAAAAAACAAAAACAAAUAAAAAACAAUCCAAUAAAACGCGAAUGGAAAAAUUUAUUAUUGAAAGAAUCGGUUCCAUGUCUGCUCACAAAUCGCAUUUAAAGAAAAAUGGAAAAAUCUUAUAAUGAGUCGCUGGAAAAGCAAGAGAGAGAGAGCGAGAGAUCCAGCUCGGAAAGCACAUGAAUUUUAUCGGAAAGGGUAUUUAUUUUAUUUUGAGCGCAUUCAUAAAUCGAGUCAACGAACACCGACACUCACAACAAAUGAGCCGAAAUAAACCGAUGCGAGCGCUACACUUCCGCAGACGACGACGCUAGCGUAGACGUUUACAUUGCUGCUGGUGCUGCUGCCAUUGCUGCCAUUGUCGACUGAGCGAAACGAGCAAGCAUUUACCGAAAUCAAACCAAACACAUGAAAAUAUGGAUAAACAACAAAAAUAAGCACUAAAAAAGCAAAAACAAAAAAAAAAACAGCAAUAAUAAUAUCAACGAAUGGAUAAAGUAAAUCGAAGGCAAAGCAAAAAAAGAAAAACAAAAAAUAGAAAAAUCAAGGAAAUAAAAUACAACGUAUGGGAAAAAAGAAAUAACAAUAAAAGAGCCAAAUGAAGCGCUGCGUUAUGGUGCGGUGGCGCUGUGACGCCGAUGGUGGGCGCUGAGCGAAUGAACCGAUGGAGCAACCGAUGAUGGAACGAUGAAACGAUUGGCAACGCCAAACCAAAUAGCAAUAACAACAACAACAAACACUAUCACUACCAACAGCAGCAGCAGUAGUCACAUUCGAAGAAUCGAGCAGCAGAACAAACACCGAUAACAACAACCACACUAUCAACAGUGCGCGCAACAAGAGCACCAUCCAACCAACCAACCAACCACUACAUUCACGACUUUCGAACGCAUGUUGGCCAAUACUCCACUACAUGCGGCCGCCACCGGCGUUGUGUAGCGCUUGCCGCGCACACCCGCUGCCUAAACUCUGUACAACUCUAGUCUUGUGUGCGGCCAACGUCGCUGCUGGUAGCGCUGCCGCAUUGGCCAUACACACGGGAGGGUUGUGCGCGCUUCGUUAAUGUUCGAUUUGUUCAGUCAUCAGCCGAAUUCGUGACAGGCAACAUCUUAUUAGAUUAUAGUUGCGCUGCCUGCGUGUGUGUCUGUCUGUCUUGUUUAUUUGUUAUUAUUAUAAUAGCCUAGUGUAGUACUACGCCGCUGGCCUGGUCGGACAACGACAACAACGACGGUCGAUAGAAAAUUAGUGGAAAAAAAAAACUACCGGGCAUUUGUUGGUAGUACGAAAUUCGUUUAAGUAAGAAAUAAAAAAAUAAUGCGUUGAAUGACUGGUGUUGGAAAAUAUGUGUAAAAUAGCGACGGCAAAUGCUUUCAAGUAGAAAUGUUUAUGAACAGAUUAACCGCGAAAAUAAGUAUCAAAAAAGUGGCUGCUAAGCAAUUUUUAAAUAAUAGUUGACAAUAAAAGAAAGAAUAUUGACUUUUUUCUGCACUAUGACAAACAAACAACAGACAAACAAAAAAAAAAACAAAAAAAUAGCAAAAAAUAAAAAAACAAAAACUGAAAAUAACUUCCAAAUACUGAUUUUACUCCACUGAACAAAAUAAGAAAACCACAGAAAACGUAAAAACCGAUUUAAGAAAAUUAAAUAAAAAACUUCUACGCGUCAAAGGUGUAUAAUUUACGAAAAGUUGUUUCUUUCAAUUUGCAUGAUAAUGAAAGUAAAUCAAAAAUCAGGAAAAACACAACUUCGAACUGAGCGGCCAAAUUAGAAGGCUUGGAAAGUCAGUUUUAUGCGAUCGGAACGACCCGCAGUUAUUCCAGCUUAGGGCUGUUGCUUCGUUUGUAUUCCGGAAAAUUAUAUAGGAAAUUAUUUAUGCUGCUACAACAGCAAAAAAACAACUGAGAGAAGACACUUUGAGUCCAUACAAAAUUCAAAUUCCACAGACACCUAUGAGCAGUGAAAUUACUUAGCUUUGGGAAUCAGGAAAUUAUAUGCCAAAGGAUUUCAAACCUAUUUAUUUCUGGAGAAAAAAAAGCGAAAGGAAAUAUAAAGCGAAGGAAAUCACAAUAGCUCAAAGUUAUUUGAGAUAGGAGCUGAAGAAUUGGAGUAGAAAAAUGUUAGCCGCUACAUAUUUUGCGGGCUAAAAACAAAAUGGAUGAUUUACUGAAGUAAAAAAAUACAAUAAUACCUCGAGGUAUUGAAGCAUUUCCUUCGAUCAACACUGAAAGUGAGGACCCUUUCUAUGCUACGAAGAACACUGGUUUUAAAGGAAAUUAAUUAAUUAAUCUCCUGAGAUUUUUGAGGUCCUAUGCUCUACCUAAGAACCACGCAAUAUAUUUAUAUGUAAAAGUAUGAAGAAAACUGGUUUCAAAAGAAAUAAAGGAAAGAAAUGAUUUUAAAACACUUAAGUUCAUUGAAAUAUGGACAUUUUUAUAAAAAAAGCGUGCCAACCAAGCACGUGAAGUACUCAGAUAAUGGAAGCCUUAGAGUGAAAACAACUUUUAUCCGAUUUGUAAAGAUUACAAAUUACGAUUAAGGCAGAUGAAGCUAAGCUGUAAGGAAAAUUUGAUUGAAAAUUGCUGAAUUAUUACGGAAAAGAAAUCAGUUCGGAAAAAAUUUUUUAAUAAUUUCAAAAUGAUUAACUAUAAGGAAAUCGGGAAAGGCCAAAAAUAAACUGUUGACUGAAGUUCACUUAAAUAAACUAAUAAUGCCAACAAUAAUGCAAUUUUGGUAGCGGCCAAGACCAACCAACGGUUGUAGUUGCAAAAACACAAAAAAAAAAAAAAAAAUAAAGCCAUCCUGGAAAUCAAGAAAAAUAGCGAUUAUAAAUUAAAAAAAAAAAUCUUUAAAAAAAAUCGUGAAAUUAGUGUAAAAAUGUUAUAAAAGGAGAGAAACUGUGGGACUAAAGACAAGCUACAAGCAGCUGGGAGGCUUAAAGGGGAAUAAGAAAUGUGAAAAUAAGCAUCAAGACCAAUUCCAAACUGGACUUACAAAAAUAACUCAUAGAUUUAAAUUAAAAAAGUGUAAAAAUGAAAAUUUAGUAACUGCUUUCUCAGAAUUUAUUUUUAUGAUAAAUGUUUUUUUUUUUGCUCACACCAUCAAAAUAAAUUUUUAUAUUAGAGAGCAGCAUCGAAAAGCAUUAUAAAAAUCAAAUCGUGCGCAAUUCAACAUUUUGUUCUUUACAUUUUUUUGUUUCUUUAAUAAAUUUACUUC
Anastrepha ludens (Mexican fruit fly) is the source of this 5295-nucleotide long non-coding RNA. RefSeq lists it as uncharacterized. Lineage: Eukaryota; Metazoa; Arthropoda; Insecta; Diptera; Tephritidae. The transcript is spliced from 3 exons. The record is from RefSeq and is a predicted model, not a curated record.